RNAcentral lists this ribosomal RNA (489 nucleotides) under uncultured bacterium. RNAcentral's name for it is "partial 16S ribosomal RNA". It matches the Rfam family "Bacterial small subunit ribosomal RNA", at positions 28 to 507 of the family's 1533-position model. The record is from RNAcentral.
GACGAACGCUGGCGGCGUGCUUAACACAUGCAAGUCGAACGGUGAAGGGAUCAGCUUGCUGGUUCUGGAUGAGUGGCGAACGGGUGAGUAACACGUGAGUAACCUGCCCCCUUCUUCUGGAUAACCGCAUGAAAGUGUGGCUAAUACGGGAUAUUCUGGGUCUGUCGCAUGAUGGGUCUGGGGAAGAUAUUGUUUCGGUGGGGGAUGGGCUCGCGGCCUAUCAGCUUGGUGGUGGGGUGAUGGCCUGCCAAGGCGGGGACGGGGAGGCGGCCUGAGAGGGGGGACGGUGACACUGGGACUGGGCCACGGCCCAGAGUCCUACGGGCGGCAGCAGUGCGGAAUAUUGCACAAUGGGCGCAAGCCUGAUGCAGCGACGCCGCGUGAGGGAUGGAGGCCUUCGGGUUGUAAACCUCUUUCGCCAGUGAAGCAGGCCUGCUCCUUGUGGGUGGGUUGACGGUAGCUGGAUAAGAAGCGCCGGCUAACUACGUG